UACGUAGGGUGCAAGCGUUAAUCGGAAUUACUGGGCGUAAAGCGUGCGCAGGCGGUUGUGCAAGACAGAUGUGAAAUCCCCGGGCUCAACCUGGGAACUGCAUUUGUGACUGCACGGCUGGAGUGCGGCAGAGGGGGAUGGAAUUCCGCGUGUAGCAGUGAAAUGCGUAGAUAUGCGGAGGAACACCGAUGGCGAAGGCAAUCCCCUGGGCCUGCACUGACGCUCAUGCACGAAAGCGUGGGGAGCAACAGG
RNAcentral lists this ribosomal RNA (252 nucleotides) under uncultured bacterium. Its description in RNAcentral is "partial 16S ribosomal RNA". It matches the Rfam family "Bacterial small subunit ribosomal RNA", at positions 524 to 775 of the family's 1533-position model. The record is from RNAcentral.